GGAUAUUUGAUGUCCGUACUUUGAAUCCGUCCUGUUGCCAAAUUAAACUGUUACAGGGAACAGCAUGCAAUGCGAUUAGGAACCUCUACUUUGUAUGAGUGAAGCAUGAAAAAAACUAAAUAAAGCACAGUUAGUAAGUACACAGACAUAAAUAGAAACUAUUAAGUGUAAUCAGACAAAUAAAGGCACAAAUGAAGUGAAGAGGCGAUGAAGGAGCGAUUAAAGUUAAAUGGAAAAAAAUUGCAGCGGUGAGAACGAAAGUGGGUGAAGUGUCUUGUGCCUGCAGAUAGCUUCCUCAGCAGCUCAAAAUGCAUUUGUUACACCCCCGGAAGCGAAAUCAACACGUGCGGAGUGUGUGAUUCAGACAGUCGUGCAGAAGAGUGACUGGUGCACAGUCCACCACAUGUUUGGGCCUGACAUCGGCGCCCGGUAGGCUGGCAGCAGCGGGGACAAAGGACUUUGUUGAGAAGUCCCUUCAUACACGCCCCAGGUGGAGGCACGUCCUGUCUCCGAGGGGGGGUUCACGUUGGCGAGGGAGGUGUCUGUGUUUGUGCUGCCGAUCAUCCUUCCCCCUUUUUCCUGUGUCCUUGUGGAGGCCAGCGAGUGUCGCAGGUCGGUGAUGGGCCUCGCCUUUUCCGCUUGCCCAGUGGUGACCGAAACAACCGGCCGCAGGUCGUCCGAAGAAAAGAAAAGGGGGUUUUGGGGUUCAUCUCCGAGCGAACCGUGGCGCGGUUGCGAAAUUGAUUCUCAUCUGUGGGUCCUGGUGAUGCAAGGGGACAGCUGCCGAGUCAGUGAGUUUCCUGUCAGCGUGAACAAGAAAAACAAUCAGAGGGAACAUGGAGAGAAAAUGCACACGUUUCAUUUUUUUUGACCCCCCCCCCGCCUUGUUCCAGAGCAAAUUGACCAAACUACAGGUGUGGAAGAAAAGUUGCUGUUGGUUCAGUCCAGUUCGCUGUGGAGCGCCCGGGCAUUUGAGCCACCUGAUCACCGGAAGUGCUUGGUCCGCAGCCCCCCGGCCUUCGGCGUCGGCGAACGGUGCCUGAGUCAUCGCAGGACGAGCUGCUCUCGGAACGGCGGUUGCUGAUGGCUGCUGCUGCUGCUGCAGCUGACGUAGUUCGUUUGGGAGGAGAUGAGGAGAAGUGGGGCGUGGACGCGGCCCCCUGUGCUUCGGACCGCGGUGUCCAAC
This 1186-nucleotide long non-coding RNA is filed under the name Scophthalmus maximus (turbot). RNAcentral's name for it is "lncRNA (ENSSMAG00000036467.1)". Lineage: Eukaryota; Metazoa; Chordata; Actinopteri; Pleuronectiformes; Scophthalmidae. The record is from RNAcentral.